GCAUUGUUGAAGAGUCUCAAAAUAGGAUGAAACGGCCGUCCAGUAC
Non-coding RNA from Schistosoma curassoni, 46 nucleotides. The record is from Rfam. Lineage: Eukaryota; Metazoa; Platyhelminthes; Trematoda; Strigeidida; Schistosomatidae.